UACGUAGGGGGCGAGCGUUAUCCAGAUUUACUGGGCGUAAAGCGCGUGUAGGCGGCUGGUUAGGUGUGAUGUGAAAUCCUCGGGCUCAACCCGAGAACUGCAUUGCAAACCGGCCUGGCUAGAGUGCAGGAGGGGGAUGGAAUUCCGCGUGUAGCAGUGAAAUGCGUAGAUAUGCGGAGGAACACCGAUGGCGAAGGCAAUCCCCUGGGCCUGCACUGACGCUCAUGCACGAAAGCGUGGGGAGCAAACAGG
Molecule: ribosomal RNA, 252 nt
Filed under: uncultured bacterium
Lineage: Bacteria
Description: partial 16S ribosomal RNA
Rfam family: Bacterial small subunit ribosomal RNA
Source: RNAcentral